RNAcentral lists this ribosomal RNA (301 nucleotides) under uncultured bacterium. RNAcentral's name for it is "partial 16S ribosomal RNA". It matches the Rfam family "Bacterial small subunit ribosomal RNA", at positions 509 to 807 of the family's 1533-position model. The record is from RNAcentral.
CAGCAGCCGCGGUAAUACGUAGGGUGCAAGCGUUAAUCGGAAUUACUGGGCGUAGAGCGUGCGCAGGCGGUUUGUUAAGACAGAUGUGAAAUCCUCGGGCUCAACCUGGGGGCUGCGCUUGAUACUUGGUUGCUUGAGUGGGGAAGAGGGUCGUGGAAUUCCCAGUGUAGAGGUGAAAUUCGUAGAUAUUGGGAAGAACACCGGUGGCGAAGGCGGCGACCUGGUCCUUGACUGACGCUGAGGCGCGAAAGCGUGGGGAGCAAACAGGAUUAGAUACCCCCGUAGUCCCUGUCUCUUAUAC